Pomacea canaliculata is the source of this 1768-nucleotide long non-coding RNA. RefSeq lists it as uncharacterized. The record is from RefSeq and is a predicted model, not a curated record. The transcript is spliced from 3 exons. NCBI's taxonomy places the organism in Eukaryota, Metazoa, Mollusca, Gastropoda, Architaenioglossa, Ampullariidae.
UGUUGGUCUGUGAGAGGAGUGCAGUCAAACCACUAGCGGUCGUUCACCUUUGUAAGAUUAAUGUAGGCCAAUGAUGCUGGCAGACUGCUGAUGCUACCUAGAUGACACGUUAAUUACCGCCAUUAAGAUCAACUGUGAUGAGGUGUAAAAAUUAAUGUUGGCCGAUUAUGCUGGCAGACCGCUGUCCCCUCUGUCACUCAUCUGUCAUUCAGCAUGUAAACCACGCCUCUUUGACCCUCAGCCAGUCCCGAACAAACUUGGGGGUUUCGACUAUAGUAUAUAUACCGACUUUACAGCUUUUCUAGUCCCUGUUGAUUUUCCAACGCAUAGCAAGGGAAAAAAAAAUGUCUAAUCCAAGUUUUCUCCAAAGUCUCAUCAAAAGGGUCAACGAGGCCAUAGCGAAAUACUGUAACGGGUGCAUCACCAAUCACCCAUCGCAGCACCAGUACCCGUGCAUAUCCAUGACGUUUGAGGAGGCGGUAGAUAUUCACUUGGAAACAAUUUUAGGGAAGAUGAACAGCAAAUUUUUGGCUGGGGAAGUCUUUCCCUUUAUAAGAGACCAGCUCCUCGAGGCUGAAAAGCAACACGUCGCCCAGUCAACAACCGUUAUCGUUUUAAGUGAGGCGGAAGAAGAAGAAAGCGACGAUGAUGUUUUUUUACUUGAUUCGCCGCAACCUUCUACGUCGUCGGCGGUGGUGGCACCACCACAACGAAAGAGGCGGCUAGAGCCAGAAGAGGAGGAGGAAAAAAAGACAAACAAAGUAAAAAGAAAGCUGUUUUUCCCCUCCUCCUCCUCCGAAGAGUUUGAUGGUCUCACUCAAGACCAACUAGAAAAGAUUUUCGACGAACCCUUCGACUUCUAGCCUCCUCCCUCUGCUACCCCUUUUUUAUUUAUUUUAUUUAUUUAUUAUUUUUUUUUAUUAUUUUGUUUUUUUUUUUGUUUGUUUGUUUUUUUUUGUUUUUUUUUUUUUGGCAGUCGAUUUAGCCUCACCUCCACGUGGUGACUGCUGGACAAAGGCUCACUUUGAAUUUUUUUUUUUUUGGGAGUGAGCUUUUGACGAAGAAGGCUAAAAUAAAAACAACCUCCAACCCAACACUAGUCCUCACAACUCUCUUGGUGUGAAUGGUACCACGCUGGCAGUAGCGGUCGUUCACCUCUUUAAGAUUAAUGUAGGUCAAUGAUGCUGACAGACUGCUGAUGCUACCCAGAUGACACGUUAAUUACCGCUGUAUGAUGUCCCCUCUGGCACUCAUCUGUCAUUCAGCUUUUUACCACGUCAAUCACAAAGCACAUAAAGCUGCCUUUGGCGAACCACCAAUCAGCUCGCCUUUAGCAUCCUAUUUAGUCACUUAGACUAUCUCGAUCCAUUCAUUCGAGAAGCAAAUCACUUUUAUUUAACACCUCUCUCACUCAGCAACCAUGGAAAACAUUUGCCGUAUAUGCGGUUUGAAAUUUACGGCGGUCAGGAACCUGAAUCGUCAUGUCAAAGCGAUACACGAAAAGUUGUGUGUAAAGACCGCCUCGCCGCCAUAGCUGGCCUCCCACUGGACGACAGACACGACAAGAGACGAGGCUGAUAAUCACGGAUAUCCCACUGGCUCAGGAUACUUGAUGCAGGAUACUCAGGAGGUCAGGUUAGUAAUCAAGACAAUCACGCUGGCUCAAACAUGGGUAAGUAAGACUAAAUAAAUCAUUCCACCUCACAAUCCUCACCCACCCACCCGACAUCUCUCGCUCACACACACACAAAAGGAACGCGCGCGUGUA